RNAcentral lists this non-coding RNA (30 nucleotides) under Mus musculus (house mouse). Lineage: Eukaryota; Metazoa; Chordata; Mammalia; Rodentia; Muridae. The record is from RNAcentral.
UAGCUAGGACCAAAAACCAUGUGAAAACGU